CACUUGGCCCAUCUCCCCAGCCGCCGUCCCUGCCCUAUCCUCCCUCAGGCCACCGCCGCUCUCCCCUGGUAGCCGUCGCCUCUCCCUGCUCUGCUCCUCUCUCUCCCAAGCGGCUCUCCCUCUCUCUCCUCGCUUCUCUCCCCUCCUCUUCUCCAGCCGCUGCUAGGCAACCGGCCGCCGAGCAGCGCAGCCACGCUGUUGCUCUCGCCAGGACGCCAGGAACCGCUGCCAUGGCUGCAGCAAAUCUGAGCACAGUUGGCUUCUUUGCAGUUUGCAGGCUAAAGUGUGUUCCUACUUCCUCCUGUAUACACAGUUUAUUCCUGCAUUUUUUGGGGUGAUUAAUUCCUUUUUCAAGGAACGUGGAUGCGGGCGAUAAAUUGAAGCUGUGGGUACUCUGUUUUCUGAAAGACAAAUGAUAGCUAUUCAAGGAGCUAGAGGCUGCUCAACAUAAAGCAUCAACAGCAACCUCUGGAACAGCUGAAAAUGCUCUACUGGAAGCUAAGUCAGUGACUGAUCUUAAAUCUAAAGAUUUGGAGGAGAAGAAAAGGGAGC
RNAcentral lists this unclassified non-coding RNA (552 nucleotides) under Zea mays. RNAcentral describes it as "misc RNA Zm00001eb134880". The record is from RNAcentral. Lineage: Eukaryota; Viridiplantae; Streptophyta; Magnoliopsida; Poales; Poaceae.